GCCCCCAUAGUUAAGUGGAUAUAACAAGCCCCUCCUAAGGGCUAAUCGCGUGUUCGACUCACGCUGGGGGUGCCA
RNAcentral lists this transfer RNA (75 nucleotides) under Clostridia bacterium. RNAcentral's name for it is "tRNA-Arg". It matches the Rfam family "tRNA". Rfam says of the family: Transfer RNA (tRNA) molecules are approximately 80 nucleotides in length. Their secondary structure includes four short double-helical elements and three loops (D, anti-codon, and T loops). Lineage: Bacteria; Bacillati; Bacillota; Clostridia. The record is from RNAcentral.